This is a long non-coding RNA of Diceros bicornis minor, 743 nucleotides long. RefSeq lists it as uncharacterized. Lineage: Eukaryota; Metazoa; Chordata; Mammalia; Perissodactyla; Rhinocerotidae. The transcript has 3 exons. The record is from RefSeq and is a predicted model, not a curated record.
CCCGCCCCGCCACCAAAUGGGACCAGAGCCAUUUCCGGCCCUCGCUGCCCCCACAGGCCCCGGAAGUGACGUCGUCCUCAGGCGGGGCCUUAGGCCUUCGCGAAGGAAAUAGCUGCCGCGUAAUAUCCGGUGGUGACCUGGGAAAUAUGGGCCCGCUGCCCCCUGGACCCGCCGUCGCCUGGCCCAAGGACUGCUUCUGCAGGCCCUCCCGGCGCGGACUUACCGCCCUGCGGCUCCGGGGCGCGGCUUCCAGCACGGGGAACCGGAAGUACUCGUGGCAUGGCUUGAUGAGCAGUGUGUAGGUCUGCACCCAGGAUCCGAACCUGCGAACCCCAGGCUGCUGAAGCGGAAACCUCAGGCCACUGAAGCAGAAACCCCUGGCCGCCGAAGCAGAGCGCGCGAACUUAACCACUAUGCCACCGGGCCAGCCCCCUAAAACAACUUUUGAAAAGGCCAUUUAAGUAGGAUAUAAGCCUUCCCAGUAUUCAAGCAAGCUGAAGGAAAGAAGACAAUGGAUUGGACAACUGGCAACAUUCAAGAUGAUGGCUUCUCUGCCAGCCUGAGACCUGAGUGACCCUGAUGGGAAGAGCCACCCUGACAACCCACAAAGGACAUGUACUGAAAGUGAAAAAUAAAUCUCUGAUGUUUAAAACCACUAAGGUGUGGGGGUAAGUGUUAUUGCACCAUAACCUGGCCUAUCCUGGUAUACUCACCUUAUCCUGUUGAAACUUUUUUUUUUUUAG